Non-coding RNA from Helianthus annuus (common sunflower), 88 nucleotides. The record is from Rfam. Lineage: Eukaryota; Viridiplantae; Streptophyta; Magnoliopsida; Asterales; Asteraceae.
GUGUCCCUCAGAGUUCCUCUGAACACUUCAUUGGGAUGUAUUGUUUUAAAUUUCCUACUGAAGUGUUUGGAGGAACUCCAAGAGCCGC